GAAAUGCGAUAAGUAAUGUGAAUUGCAGAAUUCAGUGAAUCAUCGAAUCUUUGAACGCAACUUGCGCUCCUUGGUAUUCCUUGGAGCAUGCCUGUUUGAGUAUCAUGAAAUCUUCAAAGUAGAUCUUUUGUUAACUCAAUUGGUUUCUACUUUGGUAUUGGAGGUCUUUGCAGCUUCACACCUGCUCCUCUUUGUUCAUUAGCUGGAUCUCAGUGUUAUGCUUGGUUCCACUCGGCGUGAUAAGUUAUCUAUCGCUGAGGACACUGUAAAAGGUGGCCAAGGUAAAUGCAGAUGAACCGCUUCUAAUAGUCCAUUGACUUGGACAAUACUUUUAUGAUCUGAUCUCAAAUCAGGUAGGACUACCCGCUGAACUUAAGC
Molecule: unclassified non-coding RNA, 378 nt
Filed under: plant metagenome
Description: partial contains 5.8S ribosomal RNA, internal transcribed spacer 2, and large subunit ribosomal RNA
Rfam family: 5.8S ribosomal RNA (bases 1-105)
Source: RNAcentral